UAGGGAAUCUUCCGCAAUGGACGAAAGUCUGACGGAGCAACGCCGCGUGAGUGAAGAAGGUUUUCGGAUCGUAAAACUCUGUUGUCAGAGAAGAACAAGUCGGAGAGUAACUGCUCCGGCCUUGACGGUAUCUGACCAGAAAGCCACGGCUAACUACGUGCCAGCAGCCGCGGUAAUACGUAGGUGGCAAGCGUUGUCCGGAUUUAUUGGGCGUAAAGCGAGCGCAGGCGGUUCCUUAAGUCUGAUGUGAAAGCCCACGGCUUAACCGUGGAAGGUCAUUGGAAACUGGGGAACUUGAGUGCAGAAGAGGAGAGUGGAAUUCCAUGUGUAGCGGUGAAACGCGUAGAUAUAUGGAGGAACACCAGUGGCGAAGGCGGCUCUCUGGUCUGUAACUGACGCUGAGGCUCGAAAGCGUGGGGAGCAAACAG
Molecule: ribosomal RNA, 428 nt
Filed under: uncultured bacterium
Lineage: Bacteria
Description: bacterial SSU rRNA
Rfam family: Bacterial small subunit ribosomal RNA
Source: RNAcentral